ACUUUCAUACCUUAGCUCAUCAUUUCAUAACUAAUCUAAAAGGAUUAAUGAGCCUGCAUCCAGUUUAACAAGGUAGCAAAGAACCAAAUUCUUAGUUAACUACACACUAACUAAUUGAUGAGUAUACUACUUGAAGGUAUCCAUAACCCUAACUGAUUAAUAAAAUCGGAACUCUUUACCCCUUCUUUCCUAAAUCAACAUACCAUCCCUCCGGAAAUGGAAACUCCAUACGAAUGAAGAAUAAUGCAACACGUCUUCAUCCACAUCAGCAUAAUUACUUUCGAGCUCCAAUUCCCCGCUCUCUCCUCUCCUUCCUGUUGUGGGCAUGAAUAUCCGCAACAGA
Molecule: long non-coding RNA, 343 nt
Filed under: Helianthus annuus (common sunflower)
Lineage: Eukaryota; Viridiplantae; Streptophyta; Magnoliopsida; Asterales; Asteraceae
Description: hypothetical non coding rna
Source: RNAcentral